This 585-nucleotide long non-coding RNA is filed under the name Mytilus galloprovincialis (Mediterranean mussel). The record is from RNAcentral. Lineage: Eukaryota; Metazoa; Mollusca; Bivalvia; Mytilida; Mytilidae.
UUAUUGCAAUUUUAGACAGACAUUUUAAUAGCUUUAGUUUGGUUUUCACACAAACAUAUUUCCUUUUAGUAAGCCUUAUUUGUUGUAUAUAGAUUACGUAAGAAGUUAUCGGACAAUGGUCAGAAUGUGUUGACAGAUAUGAUUUUUAAUGUGAAGCCGACAUGUAAUAAGAUGUAUUUCGGAUUAUUUCUAUUGUUAAUGUCCGGCUCAAAUCUGAUAUAGAGUAAACAUUGAUAGCAAGAUUACAUAAGUAAUUAAGAUAUUUUUUAGUCAUACACGUCACCUAUGACCCCACCUAUUUUCUGUCAAUUAGACUAAAGUUGUCAUGGUUUUUGAUUAAAUGUUAAUUUUGAUUGGACAACCUGAAACAGUCCCCAAAUUCGAAUGUAAAAAGUUAAUUCCAAAAAGCGCCACUUUUACAUGCGCUCUUUGGAAAUAAAGACAUAAAACUAUUUCAAGUUUUAUUGAAUAUUGUUUCAGGUAAGCAAUGUUAAUUUAAUUUUGUUAAAUAUGAUUUAAAGCAUUCAGUUUAAAGGUUUUCAUUACCUAAAAGUAACUUCUUAUAAAGUUAUUAAUUUGCUAAUG